GACGAACGCUGGCGGCGUGCUUAACACAUGCAAGUCGAGCGGAAAGGCCACUUCGGUGGUACUCGAGCGGCGAACGGGUGAGUAACACGUGAGUAAUCUGCCCCUGGCUUUGGGAUAGCCACCGGAAACGGUGAUUAAUACCGGAUACGACCACUUCUCGCAUGGGAUGGUGGUGGAAAGUUUUUUCGGCCAGGGAUGUGCUCGCGGCCUAUCAGCUUGAUGGUGAGGUAAUGGCUCACCAUGGCUUCGACGGGUAGCCGGCCUGAGAGGGGGACCGGUCACACUGGGACUGAGACACGGCCCAGACUCCUACGGGAGGCAGCAGUGGGGAAUAUUGGACAAUGGGCGGAAGCCUGAUCCAGCAACGCCGCGUGAGGGAUGACGGCCUUCGGGUUGUAAACCUCUUUCAGCAGGGACGAAGCGCAAGUGACGGUACCUGCAGAAGAAGCACCGGCCAACUACGUGCCAGCCGCCGUAAAAC
This 481-nucleotide ribosomal RNA is filed under the name uncultured bacterium. Its description in RNAcentral is "partial 16S ribosomal RNA". It matches the Rfam family "Bacterial small subunit ribosomal RNA", at positions 28 to 526 of the family's 1533-position model. The record is from RNAcentral.